This is a long non-coding RNA of Apodemus sylvaticus (European woodmouse), 939 nucleotides long. RefSeq lists it as uncharacterized. The transcript has 3 exons. Lineage: Eukaryota; Metazoa; Chordata; Mammalia; Rodentia; Muridae. The record is from RefSeq and is a predicted model, not a curated record.
CCCCCUGGCUAAGAGUUUUAACUUGCGGGUCCAGUGGGGUAAGAGUCCGUCAGGGGGCAGGCAUGGCAGCACAUGUCAUGCAUGGCCGCGGAAGAACGGAGCCACGUGCCCACACCUGAAACAGUAGGCACAAAGCCGGAGAACAAACUGGAAGGGGUGGAGGCUUUUAAACCUCAAAGUCCACCCCUAGCAGCAGGGUUGUGACAUGUUUGCAGAGGAGGGAUCUGUGGGCAACCCUUCAGGUGGUCGUGGCAGGUAGGGGUGCAAGCCGCAAAGAAGUAAGCAUACGCAAACAAGUGAGAAUGAAAACUGUUCAGACUGAAGUCAUCAACCUGGAUCGUGACUGCAAGGAGUCUGAUGUCAGGCAGUUCGUUGUCAGCAAGUUUGAAACACAGUCAUGAACCCAGGGUCUCACAAUGCUAAUCAUAAUGAAAGCACGGAGAGGUUGUGAUCUGCAUCCUCACCCGUCUUCCCCUUGUUCCCUCAAAUGCACAUGACCCUUAAGUUCCCCCUUGUUGCUGAUCCUGUGUGCAGCACUGGAGAGAGCACCUGAAGUCCAGGCCCGGCCUCCGAGCACACCAGCACAUGCGCAUUACUAUAAUAAUUAGACAAUUAUCCAAGACCAGUGGACUUCCCCUCAUUCUUGGUCUUACCACAGCAAAACGCCAUGUGAGUCUGCAUCAGCAAAACACCACGUGAAUCUGUAUCACCUGACAUAUCCAGAGACUUCCACUCUAAGUGUCUUUCUUUCUUGCCUGUGGAUCCAGGUGUAGACCCCUCUGCUGCCUCGCCAGCAUCAUGUCUGCCUGUUUGCUAGCAUGCAUCCAGCCAAGCUGAUGAUGGACUGAAUGCCUGAAACUGUAAACAAGCCUCAAUUAAAUGCUUUCUUUUGUAAGUGUUGCCAUGGUCGUGUCUCUCAACUGCAAUAGAACAUUGACU